AUUGAACGCUGGCGGCAUGCCUUACACAUGCAAGUCGAACGGCAGCACGGGAGCAAUCCUGGUGGCGAGUGGCGAACGGGUGAGUAAUAUAUCGGAACGUGCCCAGUCGUGGGGAUAACGUAGCGAAAGCUACGCUAAUACCGCAUACGAUCUACGGAUGAAAGCGGGGGAUCGCAAGACCUCGCGCGAUUGGAGCGGCCGAUAUCAGAUUAGGUAGUUGGUGAGGUAAGGGCUCACCAAGCCGACGAUCUGUAGCUGGUCUGAGAGGACGACCAGCCACACUGGGACUGAGACACGGCCCAGACUCCUACGGGAGGCAGCAGUGGGGAAUUUUUGGGACAAUGGGCGCAAGCCUGAUCCAGCAAUGCCGCGUGCAGGAUGAAGGCC
RNAcentral lists this ribosomal RNA (387 nucleotides) under uncultured bacterium. RNAcentral's name for it is "bacterial SSU rRNA". It matches the Rfam family "Bacterial small subunit ribosomal RNA", at positions 29 to 416 of the family's 1533-position model. The record is from RNAcentral.